Molecule: ribosomal RNA, 454 nt
Filed under: uncultured Rikenellaceae bacterium
Lineage: Bacteria; Pseudomonadati; Bacteroidota; Bacteroidia; Bacteroidales; Rikenellaceae
Description: partial 16S ribosomal RNA
Rfam family: Bacterial small subunit ribosomal RNA
Source: RNAcentral
ACGGAAGGCAGCAGUGAGGAAUAUUGGUCAAUGGACGCAAGUCUGAACCAGCCAUGCCGCGUGCAGGAAUAAGGCCCUAUGGGUCGUAAACUGCUUUUGUGGUGGAGCAAUAAGUCGUACGUGUACGGCGAUGAGAGUACAUCACGAAUAAGCAUCGGCUAACUCCGUGCCAGCAGCCGCGGUAAUACGGAGGAUGCAAGCGUUAUCCGGAUUUAUUGGGUUUAAAGGGUGCGUAGGCUGUGGUCCAAGUCAGGGGUGAAAGCCCGGAGCUCAACUCCGGAACUGCCUUUGAUACUGGAUUGCUGGAAUACGGAUGCCGUGGGAGGAAUGAGUAGUGUAGCGGUGAAAUGCAUAGAUAUUACUCAGAACACCGAUUGCGAAGGCAUCUCACGAAUCCGUCAUUGACGCUGAGGCACGGAAGCGUGGGGAUCAAACAGGAUUAGAUACCCUGGUA